Molecule: ribosomal RNA, 56 nt
Filed under: Blumea balsamifera
Lineage: Eukaryota; Viridiplantae; Streptophyta; Magnoliopsida; Asterales; Asteraceae
Description: partial 18S ribosomal RNA
Source: RNAcentral
GAGGAAGGAGAAGUCGUAACAAGAAUGCCGCAGAGGAACCUGCGGAAGGAUCAUUG